GGAGGAAAAGAACUAACAAGGAUUCCCCUAGUAACUGCGAGUGAAGCGGGAAAAGCUCAAAUUUAAAAUCUGGCGGCCUCUGGUCGUCCGAGUUGUAAUCUAGAGAAGUGAUGCCCGCGCUGGACCGUGUACAAGUCUCCUGGGAUGGAGCGUCAUAGAGGGUGAGAAUCCCGUCUCUGACACGGACUACCAGGGCUUUGUGGUACGCUCUCAAAGAGUCGAGUUGUUUGGGAAUGCAGCUCAAAAUGGGUGGUAAAUUCCAUCUAAAGCUAAAUAUUGGCGAGAGACCGAUAGCGAACAAGUACCGUGAGGGAAAGAUGAAAAGAACUUUGGAAAGAGAGUUAAACAGUACGUGAAAUUGCUGAAAGGGAAACGCUUGAAGUCAGUCACGUUGGCCGGGGAUCAGCCUCACUCUUUUGUGUGGUGUAUUUUCUGGUUGACGGGUCAGCAUCAAUUUUGACCGCUGGAAAAAGGCUUGAGGAAUGUGGCAGCUCCGGCUGUGUUAUAGCUUCAGGUCACAUACAGUGGUUGGGAUUGAGGAACUCAGCACGCCGCAAGGCCGGGUUUCGACCACGUUCGUGCUUAGGAUGCUGGCAUAAUGGCUUUA
RNAcentral lists this ribosomal RNA (607 nucleotides) under Lepiota cf. abruptibulba PA156. RNAcentral's name for it is "eukaryotic LSU rRNA". It matches the Rfam family "Eukaryotic large subunit ribosomal RNA", at positions 52 to 642 of the family's 3401-position model. The record is from RNAcentral. Lineage: Eukaryota; Fungi; Basidiomycota; Agaricomycetes; Agaricales; Agaricaceae.